RNAcentral lists this ribosomal RNA (903 nucleotides) under uncultured bacterium. Its description in RNAcentral is "bacterial SSU rRNA". It matches the Rfam family "Bacterial small subunit ribosomal RNA", at positions 9 to 921 of the family's 1533-position model. The record is from RNAcentral.
GAGUUUGAUCAUGGCUCAGGACGAACGCUGGCGGCGUGCUUAACACAUGCAAGUCGAACGGAAAGGCCUUCAGCUUGCUGGAGGUACUCGAGUGGCGAACGGGUGAGUAACACGUGGGUGAUCUGCCCUGCACUUCGGGAUAAGCCUGGGAAACUGGGUCUAAUACCGGAUAGGACCCUCCUUUAGUGUGGGGGGUGGAAAGUUUUUUCGGUGCAGGAUGAGCCCGCGGCCUAUCAGCUUGUUGGUGGGGUAAUGGCCUACCAAGGCGUCGACGGGUAGCCGGCCUGAGAGGGUGGACGGCCACAUUGGGACUGAGAUACGGCCCAGACUCCUACGGGAGGCAACAGUGGGGAAUAUUGCACAAUGGGCGCAAGCCUGAUGCAGCGACGCCGCGUGGGGGAUGACGGCCUUCGGGUUGUAAACCUCUUUCGACAGGGACGAAGCUUUUUGUGACGGUACCUGUAUAAGAAGCACCGGCUAACUACGUGCCAGCAGCCGCGGUAAUACGUAGGGUGCGAGCGUUGUCCGGAAUUACUGGGCGUAAAGAGCUCGUAGGUGGUUUGUCGCGUCGUCUGUGAAAUUCCGGGGCUUAACUCCGGGCGUGCAGGCGAUACGGGCAAUACUUGAGUGCUGUAGGGGAGACUGGAAUUCCUGGUGUAGCGGUGAAAUGCGCAGAUAUCAGGAGGAACACCAAUGGCGAAGGCAGGUCUCUGGGCAGUAACUGACGCUGAGGAGCGAAAGCAUGGGUAGCGAACAGGAUUAGAUACCCUGGUAGUCCAUGCCAUAAACGGUGGGCGCUAGGUGUAGGGGUCUUCCACGACUUCUGUGCCGUAGCUAACGCAUUAAGCGCCCCGCCUGGGGAGUACGGCCGCAAGGCUAAACUCAAAGGAAUUGACGGGGGCC